This 832-nucleotide ribosomal RNA is filed under the name Lactobacillus acidophilus. Its description in RNAcentral is "bacterial SSU rRNA". It matches the Rfam family "Bacterial small subunit ribosomal RNA", at positions 33 to 833 of the family's 1533-position model. The record is from RNAcentral. Lineage: Bacteria; Bacillati; Bacillota; Bacilli; Lactobacillales; Lactobacillaceae.
GGGCAAUUGGCGCUGCUAUACAUGCAAGUCGAGCGAGCUGAACCAACAGAUUCACUUCGGUGAUGACGUUGGGAACGCGAGCGGCGGAUGGGUGAGUAACACGUGGGGAACCUGCCCCAUAGUCUGGGAUACCACUUGGAAACAGGUGCUAAUACCGGAUAAGAAAGCAGAUCGCAUGAUCAGCUUAUAAAAGGCGGCGUAAGCUGUCGCUAUGGGAUGGCCCCGCGGUGCAUUAGCUAGUUGGUAGGGUAACGGCCUACCAAGGCAAUGAUGCAUAGCCGAGUUGAGAGACUGAUCGGCCACAUUGGGACUGAGACACGGCCCAAACUCCUACGGGAGGCAGCAGUAGGGAAUCUUCCACAAUGGACGAAAGUCUGAUGGAGCAACGCCGCGUGAGUGAAGAAGGUUUUCGGAUCGUAAAGCUCUGUUGUUGGUGAAGAAGGAUAGAGGUAGUAACUGGCCUUUAUUUGACGGUAAUCAACCAGAAAGUCACGGCUAACUACGUGCCAGCAGCCGCGGUAAUACGUAGGUGGCAAGCGUUGUCCGGAUUUAUUGGGCGUAAAGCGAGCGCAGGCGGAAGAAUAAGUCUGAUGUGAAAGCCCUCGGCUUAACCGAGGAACUGCAUCGGAAACUGUUUUUCUUGAGUGCAGAAGAGGAGAGUGGAACUCCAUGUGUAGCGGUGGAAUGCGUAGAUAUAUGGAAGAACACCAGUGGCGAAGGCGGCUCUCUGGUCUGCAACUGACGCUGAGGCUCGAAAGCAUGGGUAGCGAACAGGAUUAGAUACCCUGGUAGUCCAUGCCGUAAACGAUGAGUGCUAAGUGUUGGGAGGUUU